GACGAACGCUGGCGGCGUGCUUAACACAUGCAAGUCGAACGGAAAGGCCCUGCUUUUGUGGGGUGCUCGAGUGGCGAACGGGUGAGUAACACGUGAGUAACCUGCCCUUGACUUUGGGAUAACUUCAGGAAACUGGGGCUAAUACCGGAUAGGAGCUCCUGCUGCAUGGUGGGGGUUGGAAAGUUUCGGCGGUUGGGGAUGGACUCGCGGCUUAUCAGCUUGUUGGUGGGGUAGUGGCUUACCAAGGCUUUGACGGGUAGCCGGCCUGAGAGGGUGACCGGCCACAUUGGGACUGAGAUGCGGCCCAGACUCCUACGGGAGGCAGCAGUGGGGAAUAUAGCACAAUGGGCGGAAGCCUGAUGCAGCAACGCCGCGUGCGGGAUGACGGCCUUCGGGUUGUAAACCGCUUUCGCCUGUGACGAAGCGUGAGUGACGGUAAUGGGUAAAGAAGCACCGGCUAACUACGUG
This 468-nucleotide ribosomal RNA is filed under the name uncultured bacterium. RNAcentral's name for it is "partial 16S ribosomal RNA". It matches the Rfam family "Bacterial small subunit ribosomal RNA", at positions 28 to 507 of the family's 1533-position model. The record is from RNAcentral.